CGCAGCCGCGGUAAUACGAAGGGGGCUAGCGUUGCUCGGAAUUACUGGGCGUAAAGGGCGCGUAGGCGGAUAGUUUAGUCAGAGGUGAAAGCCCAGGGCUCAACCUUGGAAUUGCCUUUGAUACUGGCUAUCUUGAGUUCGGAAGAGGUAAGUGGAAUGCCGAGUGUAGAGGUGAAAUUCGUAGAUAUUCGGCGGAACACCAGUGGCGAAGGCGACUUACUGGUCCGAUACUGACGCUGAGGCGCGAACGCGUGGGGAGCGAACAGGAUUAGAUACCCGCGUAGUCCCUGUCUCUUAUACC
RNAcentral lists this ribosomal RNA (301 nucleotides) under uncultured bacterium. Its description in RNAcentral is "partial 16S ribosomal RNA". It matches the Rfam family "Bacterial small subunit ribosomal RNA", at positions 510 to 808 of the family's 1533-position model. The record is from RNAcentral.